GGGGGCGUUCUGGAUUCGACGGGGGUAGUUCGGGCAUGAGUAGCGAGUCGGGGGGCUGCGGGCCUCGUUAACAACGCGGAGUUAAAUAUAACUGCAAAACAACCUAAAUUACAAUUAGCUGCUUAAUUGCAGCCUAAUCCUUCCUUAGCGGAUCGCCCAUGUUUGCUAUAGAAGGUCAUCUCAGUGGGAUAGCUCGUCCGGACCGUUACUGACCGGAAAGUGAACUGUAGGUAACUAGCCAAUCCAGAAGCCUGUCGUUGGGCGUCGGUGAGGCGAAUCUUAAUGCAGCGACUGCACUCGGAGAAGCUUAUGUUGCGUUGCUUUCGGACGUGGGUUCGAUUCCCACCGCCUCCACCA
This 357-nucleotide transfer-messenger RNA is filed under the name Ammoniphilus sp. CFH 90114. It matches the Rfam family "transfer-messenger RNA". From Rfam's summary of the family: Bacterial tmRNA, also known as 10Sa RNA or SsrA, is named for its dual tRNA and mRNA-like properties. Its role is to liberate the mRNA from a stalled ribosome. RNAcentral also lists the same sequence under 1 other name. The record is from Rfam by way of RNAcentral. Lineage: Bacteria; Bacillati; Bacillota; Bacilli; Caryophanales; Paenibacillaceae.